This 274-nucleotide ribosomal RNA is filed under the name uncultured bacterium. Its description in RNAcentral is "partial 16S ribosomal RNA". It matches the Rfam family "Bacterial small subunit ribosomal RNA", at positions 523 to 796 of the family's 1533-position model. The record is from RNAcentral.
AUACGGAGGGUCCAAGCGUUAAUCGGAAUUACUGGGCGUAAAGCGUGCGUAGGUGGUCAUUUAAGUCGGAUGUGAAAGCCCAGGGCUCAACCUUGGAACUGCAUACGAUACUGGGUGACUAGAGUGUAAUAGAGGGUAGUGGAAUUUCCGGUGUAGCGGUGAAAUGCGUAGAGAUCGGAAGGAACAUCAGUGGCGAAGGCGGCUACCUGGAUUAACACUGACACUGAGGCACGAAAGCGUGGGUAGCAAACAGGAUUAGAUACCCUAGUAGUCC